Molecule: long non-coding RNA, 473 nt
Filed under: Equus asinus (donkey)
Lineage: Eukaryota; Metazoa; Chordata; Mammalia; Perissodactyla; Equidae
Description: lncRNA (ENSEASG00005036379.1)
Source: RNAcentral
AUCCAUUCUGAUGGGGGUAGUGGUGUCCACAUCCAGUGCCUGCGAUGUACAGAGCUGCAGUUUCCACACUUCGCAGUCGUGACUAGUUAUUGAUCCCACCAAAAUUCAAAUAUGAUUGUCAGGAAGUAUUCUAGUUGAAGAAAAAAAAUUAAACCAAAGCAAAGAAGAAUGAAAGAAGUUUAAAAAUCUCAAAAAGUCUUUUGUUAUCUCAUAGUAAAAGUUCUGAUGGUCUAAAUCAUGAAGACAAGGAAAAGAAUCAGGAUAUCCAAGAAAAUAUGAAACAUGCAAAUGCAGCAACAUUGAAAAAGAAAAUAAUGAGAAUGAGCAAAUUUUUAAAUAGGAACUUAAAAAUUGAUUUGAGGAAUAAAGAAAAACACAACUUAUAUGAAGAUCAGUGACAACCUGGUUAAUGAGAAUUGUCAACAUAAAGAGCAUUUAAGAUUAGGAACUGGGGUCAGCCCCAUGGCCAAGUG